Molecule: long non-coding RNA, 623 nt
Organism: Corticium candelabrum
Lineage: Eukaryota; Metazoa; Porifera; Homoscleromorpha; Homosclerophorida; Plakinidae
Exons: 2
Source: RefSeq, a predicted model, not a curated record
AGGAAUCAAAUCAUGAAUAUCCACUCUUUCACCUAAGGCAGUGCUUACAUAGUCCAGUGUUUGUAUUAGUUCUACCAACAAUUUGGUAGGAACUGGCUAUCCCAAUGGGCCACCAUAGAAGGAAACUUUGAAUUCAAAUCUAAAGCAACCACUGUCCAAUGAUUCCCACUGAUCAAUGUAUUUGAUGCAACAGAAGAUCCAGUUAUGGCAUCAAUUUGUACGUUGACAAUCAGGAAUAUAAGUCUAAUCUUCUUUCUGUUGUUCAGAGCUAAUGCUAUGGAUGUGUUCAACGUGAAUUAGCAAACUUUGGAUAGCACAAGGCAAAGACAAUCUUGUGAUGAGCAAUUGAGAAGCGAUGCCAUACCUUCAAGCAGUGUAUCAGGAUGUGUGAAGAAUAUUGGAAGGUGGAUCGGGGAAUGACAUGUUAAAGUACUCUCUAGCAAAAUCUAGCGACUGCUGUGACAUUUCUUACCAGAUUUAUGACGUUUGUUUACCAGUUUACAAUGCUGUAUACGCAUAACUCAAUCUUAACCAGUUAUAGUCAUUACCAGUUGGAUAUAACAGUGUACGCUCUAGAUGUUAAAGAAAGACUCAAAGUAACAUGAUAAUGUUUUGUGCUUGUA